This 354-nucleotide long non-coding RNA is filed under the name Nicotiana benthamiana. RNAcentral's name for it is "long non-coding RNA (NBEN_LNC008969)". Lineage: Eukaryota; Viridiplantae; Streptophyta; Magnoliopsida; Solanales; Solanaceae. The record is from RNAcentral.
AAAAGGAUGGAUAAACUUUAUCGAAAAAGGUUAGGAAAGCAGGUGCUCUUAUUGGACGUCACGGGAGAAAUCCCGAUGGCUGAGAGGGUCAUACCCUUCCGAGCUGUGGAGCGUACCAACUUCACUUUGAUUAACAUCGAGUUGUAUGUUUCGCUGCUGUCUAAUGAGGCGCAGCAUCGGUCUGGACUCUGGACGGCCUGUCCAAGGGACUGGAACCCAAGGCUCUUCUUAGUCUAACAUGAUUGUUGUAAUCUGUCUAUUGAGGCGCAGCAUCGGUCUGUACUCUGGACGGCAGGUCCAAGGGACUGGAACCCAAGGCUCUUCUUAGUCUAACACGAUUGUUGUAACCUCGGC